CUGGUGGUGCCAUCAUAGGUGCGACACACUUAGGGCAUCCCUAGUCAGUUCAGCUGUUAUUUGUUCGGUCCAGGCUAAUGACGGCCCGACUGGUCCACUCCAACCGCUAGUUGUGUAACACCCUUAUCCUGUAUCUGUUGUCGGAAUAGGGUUACGAAACAUUACCAAAUAAAUGUAACAUAAUCAUUCUUUUCAAAACAUUCAAUGAACAUAGCAUAAUCCAAUAUUAUACAAGCAUAUCAUCC
Molecule: long non-coding RNA, 245 nt
Filed under: Gossypium barbadense (sea-island cotton)
Lineage: Eukaryota; Viridiplantae; Streptophyta; Magnoliopsida; Malvales; Malvaceae
Description: long non-coding RNA (GBAR_LNC002353)
Source: RNAcentral